GACGAACGCUGGCGGCGUGCUUAACACAUGCAAGUCGAACGGUGAAGCGCCUUCCUUUUUGGUGGGUGUGGAUGAGUGGCGAACGGGUGAGUAACACGUGAGUAACCUGCCCCCUUCUUCUGGAUAACCGCAUGAAAGUGUGGCUAAUACGGGAUAUUCUGGGUCUGUCGCAUGAUGGGUCUGGGAAAGAUAUUGUUUCGGUGGGGGAUGGGCUCGCGGCCUAUCAGCUUGUUGGUGGGGUGAUGGCCUACCAAGGCGGUGACGGGUAGCCGGCCGGAGAGGGGGGGCGGCCCCAGUGGGCUGGAGACCCCGCCGCCCCCCUGGCGGGGGCCGGGGGGGGGGAUUAUCGCACGUGGGGCGAGGCCUGUUGGCCGCCCGCCCGGGGGGGGGAGGGCGCCCUCUGGUUUGUGACCCUCUUCGGCCGGUGAAGCAGGCCCCCUUUUUUUUUGGGUGGUUUGGGGUUGGCUGGAAAGAAGGCCCCCCCUACUCCCGUC
Molecule: ribosomal RNA, 494 nt
Filed under: uncultured bacterium
Lineage: Bacteria
Description: partial 16S ribosomal RNA
Rfam family: Bacterial small subunit ribosomal RNA
Source: RNAcentral